Molecule: long non-coding RNA, 826 nt
Organism: Lepus europaeus (European hare)
Lineage: Eukaryota; Metazoa; Chordata; Mammalia; Lagomorpha; Leporidae
Exons: 3
Source: RefSeq, a predicted model, not a curated record
CGCGCUGGGCAGCGGCCGGCUUUGUCUCCCGAGCCAGGCGUGAGGGCCGCGCUGCUGGCCUCUGCGGGGUCCGGUCGGCGGCUGCCGGCCCGAGAGCCCCGGGACACCGACUUCUCCUCAGAAACCUGCGGGCAGCCGUGCCUCGCGCGGAAUUUCCCAUCGAUUUCGGCCCCGGGGAGGAUUUUUGCGUGUUUUUUUUUUUUUUUUUCCUCUCUAAGGAAACCCGGGAGUGGACGAGGCGCGGGGAAGGGGUGCAGUGGGACGCUUUCUGCUAAUGUGCACCUGUGAGGCAGCAGUCGAUGUCCUAAGCCCUGCCACUCACGUGGGAGACCUGGACUGAGUUCCCAGCUCCCAGCUCACGGCAGCCGUCCGGCAGAAACAUCUGUGCGUGGGUAGAUGUUACAUACAGUGAGCUCUGUGGAUUGCUCUACAGCAGACGUGCUGAGCAGUGCGCAGGAUUCUCCCGUGAGGAAUGCCACAUCACAACGGAGGUUCCCGCUGAGCUUUCAGCCUGAAAAACAGCACAUAAAAAUACAUCUGUGCGACAGCCCGUCUUUUCUCCUGUGUGACUGGGGGUACUACGUUCUCCGAGAUUUCCCUGUAAGAGUGUAUAUGUGCAGUAUACUUAGCCUGUAACAGAGCGGGCCGAUUUCGAUUUUUUAGUCUGUUGUUUUAAGUGUUAGGGCCAGGGCUAAACUACUUUUUCUAAGUAUGCAUUUUAGGCUGUUGUUUAGCCAUUUUGUUUUUUUGUAAGAUGAUUUUUAUUUAUUUGAAAGUCAGAUUUAGAGAGAGAGAUAGAGACAGAGAUCUUCCAUCUGCUGGUUCA